GCGACGACCAGCCACACUGGAACUGAGACACGGUCCAGACUCCUACGGGAGGCAGCAGUGGGGAAUUUUGGACAAUGGGCGCAAGCCUGAUCCAGCCAUGCCGCGUGGGUGAAGAAGGCCUUCGGGUUGUAAAGCCCUUUCGGCUGGGACGAAAAGGUCCGUAUCAACACCACGGAUCCAUGACGGUACCAGCAGAAGAAGCACCGGCUAACUACGUGCCAGCAGCCGCGGUAAUACGUAGGGUGCAGGCGUUAAUCGGAAUUACUGGGCGUAAAGCGUGCGCAGGCGGUUUGCUAAGAGAGACGUGAAAUCCCCGGGCUUAACCUGGGAACUGCGUUUCUAACUGGCAGGCUUGAGUGUGGCAGAGGGGGGUGGAAUUCCACGUGUAGCAGUGAAAUGCGUAGAGAUGUGGAGGAACACCGAUGGCGAAGGCAGCCCCCUGGGCUAACACUGACGCUCAUGCACGAAAGCGUGGGGAGCAAACAGGAUUAGAUACCCUGGUAGUCCACGCCCUAAACUAUGUCAACUGGUUGUCGGGGAAGCAAUUCCUUGGUAACGAAGCUAACGCGUGAAGUUGACCGCCUGGGGAGUACGGCCGCAAGGUUAAAACUCAAAGGAAUUGACGGGGACCCGCACAAGCGGUGGAUUAUGUGGAUUAAUUCGAUGCAACGCGAAAAACCUUACCUACCCUUGACAUGCUAGGAAGCUCGCAGAGAUGUGAGUGUGCCCGAAAGGGAACCUAGACACAGGUGCUGCAUGGCUGUCGUCAGCUCGUGUCGUGAGAUGUUGGGUUAAGUCCCGCGACGAGCGCAACCCUUGCCAUUAGUUGCCACAUUCAGUUGGGCACUCUAAUGGGACUGCCGGUGACAAACCGGAGGAAGGUGGGGAUGACGUCAAGUCCUCAUGGCCCUUAUGGGUAGGGCUUCACACGUAAUACAAUGGCCGGUACAGAGGGCAGCCAACCCGCGAGGGGGAGCUAAUCCCAGAAAGCCGGUCGUAGUCCGGAUCGCAGUCUGCAACUCGACUGCAUGAAGCCGGAAUCGCUAGUAAUCGCGGAUCAGCAUGUCGCGGUGAAUACGUUCCCGGGUCUUGUACACACCGCCCGUCACACCAUGGGAGUGGGUUUCACCAGAAGUAGUUAGCCUAACCGCAAGGGGGGCGACUACCACGGUGAGAUUCAUGACUGGGGUGAAGUCGGAACAAGGUA
This 1207-nucleotide ribosomal RNA is filed under the name metagenome. RNAcentral's name for it is "bacterial SSU rRNA". It matches the Rfam family "Bacterial small subunit ribosomal RNA", at positions 297 to 1498 of the family's 1533-position model. The record is from RNAcentral.